AUCUCGCCGACGUAGGGAGCGAGAGGGCUUCUCUUUGGCUUUCCAUCCCCACCUACAUCCAGAGGACAAGUGGACUCUACUGUAGCAGCAAUAGUUUUGCACCACUGGAGCGUUCUGCCUUUUUGUGGUUUGAAAACAGGAAACAGUAAAAGAAAAUUAACAUAAUGGAUGUUCCCAUCCCUGAAACUCUUGGGCUUUGCUGCUGCACAGCCAAACAGAAGCCUGUCAUGUCUCAAGCUGUGAGCACAGUGCUCCCCAAAGCUGGCGACAGUCACACAUCUCAGGCAUCCUGGCACAAACUCACUCUGCCUCCAUGCUCAUAGAGAUCUUGUGGGAAUAUUUGGUUGUGGUCUGUGACUCCUUGACUAAACAUCUGGACAACAGGUGCCAGAGCAGAGGAGGAAUCAUGCUUCUGCAGUGGUCAAAGGGGGGACCAUGAAGCUGGAUCUUGUGCUCAAAUGAUUCUCUCUAAGAAAGCAUGCUCCCCUGAUACAGUCUUUGUCAUAACCUGUCCUCACAUCAGACAGUCUCCUCUCUCUGCCUCUUCCCUAUCACACAACCCAACACAGUUAUUUGAAAGGCCUACAAAUAAUAAGAGAGCGAGAGCCCUAAAUACUUCUGAAAAUGGUCACAUUGUCCCCUUUACUGCAGCCCCAACAUUAAAAUUGUAUCCACCAUAAAACUCUCGCUCCUUGCUGUAGCUCUAUGGAUCUCGCAUGUUUUUCCCACUAUGCUCAUAUAUUCCUGUGCCCUGUCAGCCAACACAUUAAAGAAUUCAUAGCAAUGGCAGCUUCACACAAUGUGCCUUCCUCUCUAGUAGUCCAGACCAGUGAGU
Molecule: long non-coding RNA, 835 nt
Organism: Apus apus (common swift)
Lineage: Eukaryota; Metazoa; Chordata; Aves; Apodiformes; Apodidae
Exons: 4
Source: RefSeq, a predicted model, not a curated record